AGGGUUAGGCCACCGGCUUCGGGUGUUACCAGACUUUCGUGACUUGACGGGCGGUGUGUACAAGGCCCGGGAACGUAUUCACCGCAGCGUUGCUGAUCUGCGAUUACUAGCGACUCCGACUUCAUGGGGUCGAGUUGCAGACCCCAAUCCGAACUGAGACCGGCUUUUUGGGAUUAGCUCCACCUCACAGUAUCGCAACCCAUUGUACCGGCCAUUGUAGCAUGCGUGAAGCCCAAGACAUAAGGGGCAUGAUGAUUUGACGUCGUCCUCACCUUCCUCCGAGUUGACCCCGGCAGUCUCCCAUGAGUCCCCACCACUACGUGCUGGCAACAUGGAACGAGGGUUGCGCUCGUUGCGGGACUUAACCCAACAUCUCACGACACGAGCUGACGACAACCAUGCACCACCUGUGAACCCGCCCCAAAGGGGAAACCGUAUCUCUACGGCGAUCGAGAACAUGUCAAGCCUUGGUAAGGUUCUUCGCGUUGCAUCGAAUUAAUCCGCAUGCUCCGCCGCUUGUGCGGGCCCCCGUCAAUUCCUUUGAGUUUUAGCCUUGCGGCCGUACUCCCCAGGCGGGGCACUUAAUGCGUUAGCUGCGGCGCGGAAACCGUGGAAUGGUCCCCCACACCUAGUGCCCAACGUUUACGGCAUGGACUACCAGGGUAUCUAAUCCUGUUCGCUCCCCAUGCUUUCGCUCCUCAGCGUCAGUUACAGCCCAGAGACCUGCCUUCGCCAUCGGUGUUCCUCCUGAUAUCUGCGCAUUCCACCGCUACACCAGGAAUUCCAGUCUCCCCUACUGCACUCUAGUCUGCCCGUACCCACCGCAGAUCCGGGGUUAAGCCCCGGACUUUCACGACAGACGCGACAAACCGCCUACGAGCUCUUUACGCCCAAUAAUUCCGGAUAACGCUCGCACCCUACGUAUUACCGCGGCUGCUGGCACGUAGUUAGCCGGUGCUUCUUCUGCAGGUACCGUCACUUUCGCUUCUUCCCUACUGAAAGAGGUUUACAACCCGAAGGCCGUCAUCCCUCACGCGGCGUCGCUGCAUCAGGCUUGCGCCCAUUGUGCAAUAUUCCCCACUGCUGCCUCCCGUAGGAGUCUGGGCCGUGUCUCAGUCCCAGUGUGGCCGGUCACCCUCUCAGGCCGGCUACCCGUCGUCGCCUUGGUGAGCCAUUACCUCACCAACAAGCUGAUAGGCCGCGAGUCCAUCCAAAACCGAUAAAUCUUUCCAACACCCACCAUGCGGUGGACGCUCCUAUCCGGUAUUAGACCCAGUUUCCCAGGCUUAUCCCAGAGUUAAGGGCAGGUUACUCACGUGUUACUCACCCGUUCGCCACUAAUCCACCCAGCAAGCUGG
This 1358-nucleotide ribosomal RNA is filed under the name bacterium EM-2014-79. RNAcentral's name for it is "contains 16S-23S intergenic spacer region". The record is from RNAcentral.